GUGGCAGUAGCUCAGCCUUAGAGCUUUCGCCUGAUAUGCGAAGAGACCCGUGUUAAACUCCCGGCUGCUUCU
Molecule: transfer RNA, 72 nt
Filed under: Toxocara canis (dog roundworm)
Lineage: Eukaryota; Metazoa; Nematoda; Chromadorea; Rhabditida; Toxocaridae
Rfam family: tRNA
About the family: Transfer RNA (tRNA) molecules are approximately 80 nucleotides in length. Their secondary structure includes four short double-helical elements and three loops (D, anti-codon, and T loops).
Source: Rfam by way of RNAcentral